UCCAUCGAUUCAGGGGCAGGGAUGAUAUCAUAAAUCAAUGUAACUGUUUUAAACUCUCUCCGAACCUACAUUUAGUCUGCGCUUACUUAAAGUGUCUUUUUAAAGAAUAAAGGUUUUGUUUAAUGAAAUAUGGAGUGCUAAAUUGACCCACCUGGUUGGUAGAAUGAGGGCAUUAAGAAUUUAUUUGUAUGUCUUAAUUUUCUUCCCUCCCUUUCCUUGUCUCUCCUUCCUUCACCUAUCUAGUCUUCCAUCUGUCUCCAUCAUUCCUUCCUUCUCUUCCUCCUUCACUUAUCAAUUCACCCUCUCCUCAUCAUCGCCCACCCUUAGUCCUUUCUGCUUUCCUUCCUCACAUUGGCUCUUUGUUUUAUCUCUUUCCAUUCAUCCCUUCCUUUAUACUUUUUUCCCAAUCCUUCCUUCAUUUCCUUUCUCCCUCCUUUCAUUUGUCUCCUCUUUCCUUUUCUGCCUGCCUUCCUACCUACCUCUCUCCUUAUUCCACUUUUUCAUUCCUUUUCCCUCACUCGUUUUCCUUCUCUGUCCAUUCCUCCCACUCUUUAUCUCUUCCAGGCCUGACUGAUGGUGUGUUGGCUGAUGGCAGGGAUGGUGGGUGAGGGAUUGCCCCUGCCAGCCUUUGACAUUGGGACCGAUUUAGGCCGGGGAAACGAUCGAUGUUAAAUCUAAUUUUAAACACCCCCAGUUUAACUCUGCCAGACAAACGGAGACUAAAGGCCAGCAUCUGACAACACAGCUGAGGCAACCUGAUAAGACCUACCGUCAAAGUCUGCCUGCAAUCUGGAGAGGACGCCUUCCCUUAUGCCCAUACGUGCCUGUUUUUUCUGGAGGAGCACACACUGCCUGCCGUCCCUGCCUAUCGUCGAGCCUGCCACCACGCUCAAUCACUCGCUCCCACCUUGUCUUGCCUGCCUCUCAAUAAAGUCUGUGAAAAGGC
Molecule: long non-coding RNA, 946 nt
Organism: Micropterus salmoides (largemouth bass)
Lineage: Eukaryota; Metazoa; Chordata; Actinopteri; Centrarchiformes; Centrarchidae
Exons: 2
Source: RefSeq, a predicted model, not a curated record